CUCUGUUUCAUUUUCUGUUUGGAUCCAGCUUCAAUUUUUUGUUUAUGGAUUUUUUUUGCAUCUUUGAGUCCUUAGCUUGGAUUAUAUGAAGUUUCCUCUGUUUUUAAAUUCACGUUGUUUCCUUUCUUCGUUUUAACCACUCUCCAUUUGAUCAAUACAAAUUUUCCAGCAAUAAACUUAGAAAUCAUCGAAGACAGUAAUUGAAUCCAAUAAAGAAUAAAAUCAAAUUGUUUUUGAACCAUGUAUCCAUAUUUUCCGGUAAAGGAAGAGUACCCGAGUUCAAGUUAUUCACAGUCCGAAGAAGACCCGUCAAUGAUGAUGCCGCCACCACCUCAGCCGAUGGAGGGUCUCCAUGAUUCAGGGCCACCGCCAUUUCUUACUAAAACCUUUGACAUGGUGGACGAUCCUAAUACUAAUUACAUAGUUUCUUGGAGCAGAGGAGGCAGCAGCUUUGUUGUAUGGGAUCCUCACUCUUUCUCCAUUAAUCUCCUCCCUAGAUUUUUCAAGCACAAUAAUUUCUCUAGUUUUGUUAGGCAGCUGAAUACUUACUUUACUUCACGACUGCUCCUGGAUGAAAGUCUUUCUGGGUUUUCUCAAAUUCGUUUUAGAAAGAUUGAUCCAGACAAGUGGGAGUUUGCCAAUGAAGGGUUUCUGAGGGGCCAGAAGCAUCUCCUGAAGAACAUUAGGAGAAGAAGGACCACAUCUCAGCCCUCACCGUCUCAACAAGCUCUUGGUCCCUGCGUUGAAGUUGGCAGGUUUGGACUAGACGGAGAAGUUGAUCGUUUGAGGCGCGACAAGCAGGUCCUAAUGAUGGAAUUAAUGAAGCUAAGACAGCAGCAACAGAACACUCGAAGCUAUCUGCAGGCCUUGGAAGAAAGGCUGCAAGGCACAGAAAAGAAGCAGCAACAGAUGAUGUCUUUCUUGGCUAGAGCAAUGAAGAAUCCUGCCUUUCUACAGCAGCUAAUCCAACAAAAAGAGCAGAGAAAGGAGCUUGAAGAAGCAAUGUCUAAGAAAAGGAGGCGGCCAAUUGAUAAAGGACCUACUGGUGUUGAUGUGGGUGAAUCAAGCCAAGGUAGCGAGGGAAUAAAUCCUGUUAAAACUGAACCUUUAGAAUUUGGUGAUUAUGGAUACCAGGUAACAGAGUUGGAAGCACUUGCACUGGAAAUGCAAGGCUAUGGUAGGGCAAGAAGGGAACAAGAGGAAGCACAAGAUGAGCUCCAAAAUAGGGAGAGUUAUGACAAAGAUCUCGAUGAAGGAUUUUGGGAAGAAUUAUUGAAUGAAAGAUUUGAAGGAGAGUUAGAUGUACCGGGAACUGAAGCUGGUGAAGAUGAAGAUGUGAAUGUAUUGGCUGAUCGGUUGGGUUAUUUGGGUUCAAGUCCAAAGUAAGAGAAACUGAACAUCUAGAUUCUAUAGCAUUGCUAGUUGUAAGGGCCCGUUCAGCAUUCCCUCGGAUAGGGGCAAUUACAUACCAAGACCGUAUCCCGUGGAAAAUCUCUCGUCACUGGUGUUUCUAACCCUGUUUUCUUCAUCUGCCAUUCCAUUUUUCCCUUUUGUAUUUCCUUUGCCGCUUAUCUUUCUCUAUCUUUGGUUAGGAGAGCAGCUGUAGAUCAGAAUCUGUGGUAACACUAGUCCCUC
Molecule: non-coding RNA, 1635 nt
Organism: Durio zibethinus
Lineage: Eukaryota; Viridiplantae; Streptophyta; Magnoliopsida; Malvales; Malvaceae
Source: RefSeq, a predicted model, not a curated record